RNA transcript from Grus americana (Whooping crane), 6294 nucleotides. It is a transcript of the gene named WD repeat domain 20, with no coding region annotated. The transcript has 4 exons. NCBI's taxonomy places the organism in Eukaryota, Metazoa, Chordata, Aves, Gruiformes, Gruidae. The record is from RefSeq and is a predicted model, not a curated record.
GGGCCGCGCGAACGCCGGUGGCGGCGGUUGCGCAGUGGCGCUACAUCCGGGCACUGGGGCAGGAUGAAUGCUCCUUUCCAAGAUGGCGGCGGAGGGAGGAGGGAAGGAGAUGAACGAGAUUAAGACCCAGUUCACCACCCGGGAGGGGCUGUACAAGCUGCUGAGCCACUCGGAGUACAGCCGGCCUAACCGGGUGCCUUUCAACUCGCAGGGCUCCAACCCGGUCCGCGUUUCCUUCGUCAACGUCAACGACCAGAGCGGCAACGGGGACCGGCUCUGCUUCAAUGUGGGCCGGGAGCUCUACUUUUACAUCUACAAGGGGGUCCGCAAGGCUGCGGACUUGAGUAAACCAAUAGACAAAAGGAUAUACAAAGGAACACAACCUACAUGCCAUGACUUCAAUCACUUAACAGCCACAGCAGAAAGUGUGUCUCUUCUAGUGGGCUUCUCUGCAGGCCAGGUCCAACUUAUAGACCCUAUUAAAAAAGAAACUAGCAAAUUAUUUAAUGAGGAAAGACUAAUAGACAAGUCCAGAGUAACCUGUGUAAAAUGGGUACCAGGUUCGGAAAGCCUUUUCCUAGUAGCUCAUUCCAGUGGCAAUAUGUACUUGUAUAACGUGGAGCACACUUGUGGUACCACAGCCCCGCACUACCAGCUACUUAAACAAGGAGAAAGUUUUGCAGUUCACACUUGCAAGAGUAAAUCCACAAGAAACCCUCUGCUUAAAUGGACAGUAGGUGAGGGGGCCCUGAAUGAAUUUGCCUUUUCUCCAGAUGGGAAGUUCUUGGCGUGUGUGAGCCAGGAUGGUUUUCUUCGUGUGUUUAACUUUGAUUCGGUGGAAUUGCAUGGUACAAUGAAAAGCUACUUUGGAGGACUGCUGUGUGUUUGUUGGAGUCCCGAUGGGAAAUACAUAGUGACAGGUGGAGAGGAUGACUUGGUAACAGUUUGGUCUUUCGUGGACUGUCGGGUAAUAGCGAGAGGCCACGGACAUAAAUCGUGGGUCAGUGUUGUUGCGUUUGAUCCGUAUACCACUAGUGUAGAAGAGAGUGACCCGAUGGAAUUUAGCGGAAGUGAUGAGGAUUUCCAAGACCUUCAUUUUGGCAGAGAUCGAGCAAAUAGUACGCAAUCUAGGCUAUCCAAAAGGAACUCUACAGACAGUCGUCCAGUGAGUGUUACGUAUAGAUUUGGUUCGGUAGGCCAGGACACACAGCUCUGUUUGUGGGAUCUUACAGAAGAUAUCCUCUUCCCCCACCAACCUCUCUCAAGAGCAAGGACACAUACAAAUGUCAUGAAUGCCACAAGUCCACCUGCUGGAAGUGGUGGAACUAACCCAGGAAGUAAUGGAAACAGUAUCACAACACCUGGAAACUCUGUACCCCCUCCUCUUCCACGGUCAAACAGCCUUCCACACUCUGCAGUCUCAAAUGCUGGCAGUAAAAGCAGUGUCAUGGAUGGUGCCAUUGCUUCUGGUGUUAGUAAAUUUGCAACCUUAUCGCUACAUGAUCGGAAGGAAAGACACCAUGAAAAAGAUCACAAGAGAAAUCAUAGCAUGGGACAUAUAUCUAGCAAGAGCAGUGACAAACUGAACCUAGUUACUAAAACCAAAACGGACCCAGCUAAAACUUUGGGAACACCUCUCUGUCCCCGAAUGGAAGAUGUUCCCUUGUUAGAGCCUCUUAUCUGUAAAAAGAUAGCACAUGAAAGACUGACUGUGUUAAUUUUUCUUGAAGACUGUAUAGUCACUGCUUGUCAGGAGGGAUUUAUUUGCACAUGGGCAAGGCCUGGUAAAGUGGUAAGUUUUAAUCCUUAAUGCUGCAUCAAAGAACUAGAACUCUGAAUAGGUAGUUUUCUUGAAAUAUAAAUGAAUGUUGAAUAUAAAAUUUCUUUAUGCUUAAUGUAAAAAAAAAAAAAAAAAAUCCUCAGAGCCAUACUUUUGGAUACUGCAUGCCAUAUUUCUGAAUGAUUUGAAGUGUCUUGGAUACAAUUAAGUAUAGUUGCCUUCCAGCAGAAGAAGUAAAUACUGUGCAUCUAAACUAUUGAUCAAUGCUCUUAAGCAUAACCACAAUAUGGUGAAAGCUAUUUAUGUAAAAAUUGAAGUAAAACUUGUCAAUCUAAAAUAAUUAUAAUCCUUCUAAUGUUUUCUACAAAAUACAGCACUCCCAAUGAAAGUAGCUUAUGAAAAGCUUUUGCUUUUAAGUCUAAUGAGAAACGUGAGCCUCUGAAAAAACUAAAACCAAAGUGUUUUGUUCCUCCAUCCUUUUCUGUGGUGGCCUGCCAUUAAUGUAAAACCAUUUCUUAUUAAACCGUCAGCCAUUUUAUGCACAGAUUUGUGAGCCCUUUACUGACUGUAGUUUAUGCUCUUGAAAUUGAAUCAGUGUUAUCAAGGAACUCUGAUUUUUUGAUUUAUGUAUUUGUUAAGUUAGGGAAAAAUCAUGCAAGCUUUCUCUAAGUAGUUUCAAUGUUAUGUUACUGUCAGUUUUGUUAGGCAAUUUGAUCAUCGACAAUCUCGUGCUUUUUGGCACUUGUUCUAUCAGUUGAACCUUCAUUAAAAUAUAUUAACUAGUGUUAACUCUUGUUGUUAAUGCACUUGAACACAGAUUAAAAAUUUGUUUUUCUUCUGUCCAAUGUAUAGCAAGCUAAAUUUUGAAUGAAGCUAAACGUGGUGAUUAUUUUAUUAAAAAAUACUUUGUGCUACGAUAGCUUUGUUUGUCAGCAACAUCUUAAAGGAAUACAGCUAUGAAAACAUUUCCAGAGUUGAUCUAGCAAAAAGGACCAUUAUUUUUAUGAAAAUUUCUGAAAGGACAUGUAGGUUAUCACUUGAAGAAAAAGAAAUAAUCUGUGAAUACCUGAAUAUUGCCAUGUUGGGCAACCUAAAUGAAAUCUGCUGUUCAUUAGGGUUUAACCAUUUGGUUCAUAAAUCUGACUUGAAGUGGAGGUACUAUAUAUAUUUAUAUACUGCAUCUUCAUUGCUAUAAACUUUUAAGUAAAACUCAAUUUUUUUUUUAAACUGUUUGUAUAAGUUUCUUUGAGAUAUUAGCAAAUUUGCCACAACAUAGGUAUGCAUAGAGAGCUAUGUCCACUCUGCAUCUUAAUGCAUAUUUAAAGGUUGAAUCUAAAACUAAAAGUUGUAAACCCUUUUCUGGAGAGAAGGGUGUCAUCUAAUAGUAUUUUAUGCCUAAGAACUAUGGAUCUAGCAUUAAUUUAAGGAGGGGGGGGGGGGGGAAAAGCAGUCCCCAAAACUACUUAAACUAUUUAAAAUGUUUGUCCUAAAUGAAAAUACUAAAGCAGUUACCGCUUCUGUGACUCAGUGCAAUUCACGUGUCUUAUGAAUUAACUUUAUAAGCAUACAGCAGUGCCUCAGAUUUCUAUUGUGACCUAUAUUUUCUUUUUGUUCUAAGACUCCUUUGCGUACUACUAAACACUACACUGUUAAACUUAUUUUCAGUGGCUGAGGUGGGUUUUGUUAGACUGGGUAUAACUUAAAUAUUUAUGUAUAUUGACUUUGAUUUGGAAUAUGACAUUUCAAAUAUUUCAGAGAUAAAGUAUGCAGUACCAAAAAUCAGGAUUUAUGUAUUGGCCAAUAUGGAAAACUUUAAUUACAGGGUUUAUUGUCAUCCCAAAACCAGGCCAAUUCUCCAAGUGGAACUGUAGUAUAGCCAUCACACUACUGCUAGCAAAUCUCUGAACGCAGGACAAGAAGUAAUGACAGUGGAACCAGGAGCUGUUCUUCAGGCAAAGAGCAUCACAAAUUAUAAUGUGGCAGAGUGUAAACAUGGAAUUAUGUGAAUCACAUAGUAAUUUGCAGAGGAAUAAUGUAAUGAGUUCUUAUUACAGCUAAUAUUACUAGGCUGCUCACCCAAGGAAGAGUUUUCAUGUAAAAAAAAAAAAAAAAAAAAAGCUUCCUUUGGUGCUGCAGGACAAAAUAGUAACACUUUUGGUUUUCUUUAUGCUUUUCAAGUCCAGUGUAAUUUAAUCUCUCUAUAUAAAUAUAUAAAUAAAAGACAUAUAUAUAUAUAUAGUGUAAAAUAAAGUAUGUUUUCUUAAAUUCAAGUAAGUUCAAUGGUUAAACUAGUACUUCACCAUUGUUUAUUUUGCACUGAUUUUUUUUAACCAGAGAUGGCUAGAAGACAGCCUGGAAUGCACUCAUGGAAAAUGAAAGUCAUUACUUUCUGGCUUCAAAAUGUUAUUCAGGAAGAUGGAUGCUGCAAUCAUAGAUUUUUAAAACAAAAUUGUUUUGCACUUAAAUAGUUUAAUGCUAAUAGAGAAUUACUUUAAAAUUGGUGCCCAGACACCAGAGAAACUAUGUUGUGGAGAGAAGAUCCUUUGUAUCUAUUAAACAUUUAUUUUAAUAUUGUUGUUUCCAACUGCAAUCGGCUCUGUAUUAUAUGUAUAAAUAAUGUAAUUCAGUGGUGGGGAAGGGGAGUAAUGGAUCAUUACACUAGAAAUUCUCAUUCAUUUAAGAAAGUGAUAUUUCUAAUUCAGAAAAUACAUAUUAAACUAUCUUGAAUAUGCAUUUUUGUUUACUUUCUGUUCAAAUUCAAUCACUUUUGAUGUAACCAAUCCUUUGUUGAAUUAAAUGUUUGGUACAGAAAUAUCAUCUAAGCUUUGUAGAACAAAUUCCUUUCAAAAAUCUCUCAUCUAAAACAUUGCUUUGUAUUUAACAUAGUUGAAUUUCAAUUAGAAAGUGAAAUAACAUUGUUCUGUUCUCAUUCUUAAUGGUUUUAUCUUGAAAUACAUCAUACAGCAGAAAUCUUGCAGACAGACAGCUUUGUGGGGUAAGGAUUUUGUAAUGGCAUAGUCCCAUCCAUUUGUCUGAGGAGUUGUGAAGUGAAAGAUCCGGCAGUAGUAGACAUACACACUUUCUGACUUGGCAAUCUAAAAUUAGGUCACCAUUGUGGCGUAGAUGCGUUUCUGAGACAACUUGUUUGUUUUCAAUCAGGCAUCGCAUUUAUAAUUCACCGCUCUUAAACUGAUAAGCGUUACGGAGACAGACAUACCCAUGUAGCUGUGUAGUUUAAUGCUGCUUGUCUGAGCACACGUUAUUUUUCAUCACUCAGCAACAGAACACUGAAAUUUUUUUCAGUAGCUCUUGCAAAAAAGAUUAACCCCCCCAAGAGAUGUUGCUCCGUGUCAGGACCCAGAACAACACAAGACAGCUGUACCUGCCCUGUCUUUCCCUUUACCCUUUGUAGCAAUAUUCGCAAUUGGGCUUUUGCUGAAUCUUGUAGCCGGGCUUCAGGCAGGCAGCGGGGAACCUGCCUGGGAGCAGGGAACUUGCCCCAGUAAGCACACGCCCUAUCUGAGGGCACAUGUUAAUGCCCUUCUUGCUCUCUAAGGAUAAAGCUGCGUAAAAUUUUUUAAAUUGCAAGUAAAUGUGAGACAUUUUCAGGCAUGAGAAGUUAAUUUUUUUUCAGAAAAUGAAUGAAAAUUUGGGGAGAAACAACUUGUGACUAAGUCUUAUUCUUGUAAAGCAGCUAGCAUGUAGAAAACUGCCAGACACAUUUAUAAGCCAGCAUUUAGGUUGUGUGCUUUAUUAAAGAUGGCGCUGUGCUUUACAAUCCUUAUCUACUUACAUUCUUCUAAAAUAUGAAGAAUAGGGAAAAUACUGAAACUAAGCAGGAUUAUUGUUCAGAAGUUUUGAUUUAUUAACAUAGUGGGUUUAACUGUUAAAAUACAGAUAAACCUCGUCACUGAAACUAGUGCGUUAUCUCCCUGUAUGCUUCCUGUAUAUAAGUGCUUCGUAUGGUUUGAGUCAAAGUGAAACAGUUGAGAAAAUAUGUAAUAACUUUAAAAGACUUUUUUUUUUCCUUCAGCUGGAAAAAUACAAAACCAAUACUGAAAGGGCCAUAGCAUCCAACAUUAGCAGCUACUCACAUAUGCAUUUGUAGAGUACAUCCCCACUACAAAUCAUAGUUGAACAGUGUACAAGGACUGAAUGUGGGUUUUUUCAGCCUCUUCUUUAUUACCAGGCAAUCAUCUAGAAGCUUGAACUGCCCACCCCACCCUCUAUUCCAUAUGGAAAAAAAUUUUUUUUAGGAAGAAAAAGGAUACUAAUAACUUACCUGGAAAGAACUUAGAGUUCUACUAUAGAUACAGCUCUUAAUGAGUAACUUUUUCUUACUAUGUUAAAAAAAAAAAAAAAGUGGAACACAGAUCAUCUCAAUACAGAAUUUUAGCUGGAAGAACAGUACUUGCCAGUUUGUAGUUUAAAGCUGAGUGUAUUUUAAUGAUAAAGCAGGUGGGAAGACGCAAGGUUUGCCUACUAAUCCAACAGCCAGCGAAGUGUAAGUUGUC